AGUAAAAGUCGUAACAAGGUUUCCGUAGGUGAACCUGCGGAAGGAUCAUUAAUAGAGUAAGGGCGAAGCUGUAAAAGGCCGAGCUCUGACCUCCACCCUUGAAUAAACUACCUUCGUUGCUUUGGCGGGUCGCCUCGUGCCAGCGGCUUCGGCUGUUGAGUACCCGCCAGAGGACCACAACUCUUGUUUUUAGUGAUGUCUGAGUACUAUAUAAUAGUUAAAACUUUCAACAACGGAUCUCUUGGUUCUGGCAUCGAUGAAGAACGCAGCGAAAUGCGAUAAGUAAUGUGAAUUGCAGAAUUCAGUGAAUCAUCGAAUCUUUGAACGCACAUUGCGCCCUCUGGUAUUCCGGGGGGCAUGCCUGUUCGAGCGUCAUUAUAACCACUCAAGCUCUCGCUUGGUAUUGGGGUUCGCGUCUUCGCGGCCUCUAAAAUCAGUGGCGGUGCCUGUCGGCUCUACGCGUAGUAAUACUCCUCGCGAUUGAGUUCCGGUAGGUUUACUUGCCAACAACCCCCAAUUUUUUAAGGUUGACCUCGGAUCAGGUAGGGAUACCCGCUGAACUUAAGCAUAUCAAUAAGCGGAGGA
This 585-nucleotide ribosomal RNA is filed under the name uncultured fungus. Its description in RNAcentral is "eukaryotic LSU rRNA". The stretch from base 222 to 375 matches the Rfam family "5.8S ribosomal RNA". Lineage: Eukaryota; Fungi. The record is from RNAcentral.